Molecule: long non-coding RNA, 239 nt
Filed under: Elaeis guineensis (African oil palm)
Lineage: Eukaryota; Viridiplantae; Streptophyta; Magnoliopsida; Arecales; Arecaceae
Description: long non-coding RNA (EGUI_LNC075286)
Source: RNAcentral
GGGGAAGUUGGAAACUCGGACGUGGUCAUCUCCUUCCUAGUGCCAUACCUACAAUGCUUAAAUCAUGAUAUAACUAACUUGACAUAUAAAUAAAUUUAAUAAUAAAUAAUAAUAGUAAAAAAAUAUAAAUGUUAAUGAAUAGAAUUGUAUUGCAUACCAUUAUUGCAAGAGAAGAUUCAACAAAGAAUAUAGAUCUACUCAAUAAUAUCCAUAUCCUCCUCGAUUUGUAGGUCCUCUUC